Molecule: long non-coding RNA, 5154 nt
Filed under: Equus asinus (donkey)
Lineage: Eukaryota; Metazoa; Chordata; Mammalia; Perissodactyla; Equidae
Description: lncRNA (ENSEASG00005033512.1)
Source: RNAcentral
GCCUCGGUUGCCACAUCUCAGGAGGGGCCUCAGAGGCUGGUGCUCUGGGAGAGCAGGACUGUGCCAGCUCCAGGGGCUGCCAUCUGCCCUGCUCUCAGGACCUACUGAGGCAGAGCCCCAUGGACCUGAUGCCUGGCCCCGCCUGUUGUCCUCACUGUCACUUCUGGCCACUGGACUGUGCCUGCCCACCGAGCCCCCCUGAAAGGCCUGCCAGGUGAGCGUGGGGAAUGUGGGCACAGCAGCCCCUGGGGCCGGGCUGAAGCACAGCUCCUGUCUUCCUGGUAGGUGCUCAGACAGGGUCCCUGAGCAGGACAGGAGGCAGUGAGAGAAGGAUCUGUGGGUGUGGCUGGCAGACAGCAGAUGGCAGUGGGCCGACCUGGCUGGCCACCCUCCGGCGGCACUGGACACCCUGUCAGAGCAAGCACAGGUGCUGCAGAGGCGAGAACGCGAGCUGGGACUUGGCAGGGCCCAGUGUGAACUACUGGCUCUGAAGCAGAAAAUGAGGCUCCCGUCCUCUCUCCUUGACCUUCCUUGCUUGUCCGCAACCCCUGGGAGGUCCCUUGAGCUAGCAAAGUCCCCUUACCAGGCUGAACCACAUCUGGUGUCAUGUUCUCAGAAAGAAGGCUUGUCAGGGUCUGGGACACCCAAAGGAAACAGAGGGUAAUCAAGAUCCCAACAGGGCUGCUGUGCUGAACAGUGUCCUCUCUGUGAAUGGCACCCCUUGGAGGCGUGCAGGGCAUUGCGUCGUGUGACUGGGGGCACUGGAUGAAGGCAAAGGGCCCUGUGGGGCCCUGCCCCCCACCCCAGAGAGAGUUGGAGGGAGAUGGCUGGUUUUAGCUCAGUGGACAGAAGAGUUUCCUCAGAAGCCCAGUGGCCUCUGGUGAAAGUUGCACUCCCCAGGGAGAACGAGGGGGCUAUGCAAACUGAGACUUCUAGGGGAGCAUCCCUGCCCCAUGUGAGAGUGUGGACAGCGCCACUCUCACAGUGUGAUGGCCUAGAUACUUAAGCCUUUAGUGACCUGGGGAUCUCAGCCCACAGCUGACCCUCCUAGAGCCACUCCUCCCUACCAGGCCUCAGGGGACCCAGGGGACCCAGUUGACAGCCUGUCUCCUCAUGCCUGCCCACUUUCUGGCAUUCCAUGACAGCGUCCAAGGUCUUGUUGCUGGAGCUCCAAAGCCAUCAGCAGCUGGGGUGGAGAAGGGAAGUGUUUCAGGUCCAGCUGGGGGUGGAGGGUUGCACAUCUGGUGCCUGAGUGAUAAUAGCUGGGCAGCCUCUCAGAGCCGUGGGACACAGUCCCUUGUGUACAAGCCAGGGCACAGGUCCAUGCUGGGCCGUCAGCUGGGCCCCUGGCUGGGUUUAUCACAGCUGGUGGAGCAGGCAGGGCCCUGUGGAGUCAGCCUGCUUUAUCAGAGGCCGCAGACACUGCCAUGCCUUAAAGCGGGUGGAGAGUAGGCAGGGCCAGCCCUCUGCAGGGGCUCCAUGCUGCCUUCAGCCCUACCCACAGCAGGUGGAAUGCUCCCUGGCCCACCUGGAGCAGGAGAGGCACCAGCUGCGGGGAUCUCAGGGACAGGAGUGGAGGAGGCCAAGACAUAGAAGACAAGUGAGGGUGCCGGGAGAUGGGGAGGGGCAGAGUGACAGAGGACAGGCAGAUAGACCCUUCUGUCCCCAGGAUCCUGCUACUGUAGACAGAAGUGGAAAAGGCCCAGUGGUGUUUGGACUAGAUGAGCCGACAGCCCCUUGGCCCAGACCCCAGCCUGGGGCCCUCUGGGGUAGGAAUGACCCCAGAGCCCCCUCUAAGCGGGUGCAUGGCAGGGCCCUGACCACUGACCCUGCCGCACCUUUGGCCCUGUCCCAUACUGCAUUCUCUGGUCUUCACUCUUGGAGCAGUAGCUGGGGAAGGAGGCUACUGUGUCAGGUACUGUACAGAGGCUUCUGUUCAGCCAGAGAGGGACCCCCACCCACACAUGCACAUUUGAGAAGACCCUGAGAUCAUCUAGCUAACUCUCCUCCUAGUUCAGAUGGGAAAACAGAGCCCAGAGGGUAGGGAAGAGCUUCUACAGGGUCAUAACAGCAUGGUCUGGAGGCUGAGAGGAGAGCCCAAGAUCCUGGACUGAGUAUAUCUGCAGGAGAUGCUGGCGCCAGGCACGCAGGGCCAGGAGCAGAGCUCGGAUGGGGAUGGGGCCCAGGUACGUCAGGGCCCAGAUGGAGUCUCAAUGGGAGCAGCUGAGACCCUUACCUAGGCUCAGGACACAACCUUCCUGCAGGAGCGGUUGCUGAUGCUCACCCAGCACACUCCUGGUCUAGGAGGUACCAGUGUUCCUCAGGAAAGAGCUACAGGAGGAAGAAUCACAUCCCAGGCUUCACGAGAAGGUGGGUGAGUACUGGAAGGCACGCUGGCACCAGGUGGCAGUUGGCUGCAAUUUAAAGAGGAACUGCAGGGACUCCAGAGGCAGAAUGAGGCCUGGCCUCCCCCGGUGGGUGCUCUCUGUCCACCCCUUUCCUCUCCAUCCCCACAAUCUCCUCCAUUCUCUUCCCCACAGCCCUGUCUUUCCUACUGCAAGCCAAUUAGUCUCUUCCCCCUUCUUAGGAUGCCCCCUAGCUUUAUCCUACCCUUUCUUCCCUUCUACCUCUUCCUCAUUCUCCUCCAUCAGCCACUCAUUCACUCAUUCAGCAUGCAGUCACUGAGCAUCUGCUACAUGUCUGGCCUGUGCACAGGACAACCAAAGUCGUAUCAGACUGCUCUUCAUCCCCAAAAGCUUAUGGUUUGGGUCACACGGUCAUUGAGCAGGCAAUUACAAUUUAACAUGCCUGAUGAGGGUAGAGACACAUGGGAGCUGAGAGCAGGGGCAGCAGAGAGGAAAGUUCUCCCCAGAAAGGGUGUUUCUGAGCUUCUGAACCCUCACCGAAGGAGGAACAGGCAUCUUCCAGGAGUGAAGGAAUGAAGGGCAUCUCAGCAAAAGGGAGGAGCAUGUGCAAAGGCCCAGAGAGGAGAGACGUGGAGGUGGGGCUCUUGUAAAUAGUCCCUGACCCAGUAAGAAGUGGAGGGGGUGAGGGGUUACUUGAAAUGCGGGACAGGGGCCAGAGCAAGGGCUCUGGUAUCCCAUGUCCUGUCCACCAACUCCAACUCCAGCUUGGUGACUGCCUCCUCCUGGCCAGUGUCCUCCUUUAGUCUCCUGAGCAAAUGUAUGUGUGCACAGGCAGGCAGACAGACAGACAGACGGAUACCCCCCCCACAAAAUACCCAUCAGACACUCACCCAGAGACACAUGCCCAGGCUCCCAGAUGUGCACACCCGGAGACACAGAGAAACAGAUACAGACGCCAAGGAGGUGGCUGGGAGCCCCAGGGAUGUGGAGUUGUGAGGUCCUGUGGAGCUGCUCUGUGGACCUGGAGGGAAGGAGUGGGAGAGGAGGCCUCAGCAGCCGCACUUAGCUGGCCUCGGGCCUCAUGAAAGGUGGAGUUGGUCUGAACCAGGGGUCCAGAACUGUGCUCCGAGAGAGCUGUCAGUUCCUUAAGGAAGCAAAUUUGCAAUGAUAGUCUGCAACUGUACAUUUGUACGGAAAAAGAUCUUGGGUUUUUUUCUCUUUCUCAGCCCUGACCCCUGGGGCUUGGAGGUUGUCUUCUCAGGGCCUGGAGGGACUCUAUUCUUUAUGGGGUGUGCACGCCAGUCAGUUUGGGGGUCUGCAGUGGACUAUGUGCUGGGCCUUCAGAGCAAACUCAGGCUCUGGGAAGGAGGUGGCGCCAGGUGAGCCCUAAGCAAGAACAUGCAAAUGACCCAUAAACUAGUGCCAAUUUGGGCCCCAACUGCAGGGCCUUCUUUCAAGGGCCCUUGCCCCUCAGGGAUGUCAAGCCAUUUCCUCUCUCUCUCCAGUCCCCAGGGAGGCCUGCCUUCUGUGAGCAAGUGGGUGCCCCAGGCCCUGGGCUUGUCCAGGGUGACCUAGAAUUCAGCUCUGGGUCAUGAGCAGGGUCCUGCGGGGAGUGGCUGAUGGGCCAAACUUACAGCAGGGCAGAGGCUCUCAGGAGACACAGCAGCAGCUAGAUGCGGGCCAGACGCUGCAUCUACAUCUGGCUGGCAGGGGGUGGAAGGGGCUUCCACGGCCCCCAGCAGUCUUCAUCUUCAGUCCCAUCCUCAACCUCAAGCUCCUUCCACCCGGACCCCCUCUGGGUCUCUCCCUCAGUCUGUCUUCCUCUUCAAUCCUAGGAUUCUGUGGUCUUUACUGUCCCCAAAUUAGUAGUUAAGAUUGUGGGCUGAGGAGCCUAAAUACUCCUGGCUCCACGUUAUACUAGCUGUGUGACCUUACGCAGGUCACUCCACCUCUCUGGGCCUCAUCUGUAAAAAGAAACAAAAAGUGAGAACAAUAACAGUUCUCCUCCAUCAGCUGGCUGUGAGGGUUAAAUUCAACGAGCAUGUAAAAGGCUCAGUGCAGUGCUCAACACAUGGCAUGCAGGCAUAAAAUGUUAGCUGCCGCAGGCAUGGCCGCUUUGAGGCCAAAGUCCCCUUCUAAGUCAGGGUUCCUUUGGAUCCCAUUCACCCUCUGUGGUAGUUUGCUAGGGCUGCCAUAAUGAAGCACCACAAGGUGGGCGGCUUCAAUGACAGGAACUUCCUGUCUCACAGUCUGAAGGCUGGAAGUCUGAGAUGAAGCUGUUGGCAGGGCUGGUUCCUUCCGAGGAUUGUGGGGGAGACUCUGUUCCUGCCUCUCUUUGGCUUCUGGUGGUUGUCGGCAGUCUUUGACAUUCCUUGGCUUGUGGAUGUGUCACCCCCAUCUCUGCCUUCAUGUGCGCACAGCACUCUCCCUCUCUGCAGGUUCCUGUGUCCAGAUCUCCCUUUCUAAGACACCAGUUAGACUGGAUUAGGGCCCACUCUGAUGAGCCCAUUCGAACCUGAUUACUGAUUACCUCUGUCUCCAAAUAAAGUCACAGUCUGCGUUACUGGUGGUUAGAACAGAAACAUGUCUUUUUUUGGGGGGGGGGGUGGCACAGUUCAACCCAUAACAUCCUAAUUUGCUUCCUUCUACCUUCCUGUUGGGGGGGUUGGGUGUGACUUGGGAUCUCAGGGGCGCAGCUGUUCCUUGUCUCGUUUUUUGUUUUUGUGUUUUUUUGAGGAAGAUUAGCCCUGAGCUAACAUCUGCCGCCAAUCCUCCUCUGUUUUGCUGA